This 77-nucleotide microRNA precursor is filed under the name Otolemur garnettii (small-eared galago). RNAcentral describes it as "mir-653 microRNA precursor family". It matches the Rfam family "mir-653 microRNA precursor family". The record is from Rfam by way of RNAcentral. Lineage: Eukaryota; Metazoa; Chordata; Mammalia; Primates; Galagidae.
UCCUUCAGUGUUGAAACAAUCUCUACUGAACAAGGCUUCAAAGUAAUUCACUGGAGUUUGUUUCAAUAUUGCAGGAC